AUAAAUCUCCCCCUUUGUUUUUAUUGUCCAAGUGCAUAACCUUACAUUUAUCCACAUUAGCCUCCGAGCGACACAUACCAGCGCCGAUGCCGACACCCGGCACCCCGUCUUCGCCACCGGACCUCCAGGCUUGACUGUCUCUGCUAUGCGCACCAGCAGCCUGAUGAGAUGACCAGCUGGAGUGAUCAAACAUCUAAUUCUCAGCCAAGAGGAUUCAUGGGAAAUGUAGGCUGCAUUACAGAACCCACAUCAUUGUGCACUUGCAAACCAAAAAGGAGCCUAUCCCAUGCCUGCCACAACAACAAUAAAAGCAGUUGGAUAAGUGAUCUCAGGUCAAGAUCAUGUCUGCACCGGAGCGGAAUCUGGAGGAAUGCUUCUUCUGAAUGGGAAAUUAAUAAAUUCACAUUUAUUUUUCGUGGUUGCCAGAUAUGUCUUUGUUCCUGGAACAGUCUCUCCAGAAAGACAGAAAAAGGGGAGAGGAAAGGAAAGUAAGGGCAGGUGGUGUUCGUGAGUAUGCCGGGUCCGCACGGUCCUCCUCCAGGUCGGUGACAGCAUCAGUAGAGCAGCAGACAGAAGGUCCACAGGGAGAAUGCUGAGGGGAUCACAUGUCUGCUUCAGCCAAUCAAGGCUGCUGCCCUGUUCCCCUAAGUCUUCCUAGACUGGGAGGAGCUAGUUAGUCUGGAGGACAAGCCUAAGGAAAUCCAGUUGCUGUUCCAGUAUGCAGUGGGAAGAAGAGCCAAGAGAGCCCACAGACCUAAUUUGCAAAAAAGAGGAGAUGGAAAGUCUCGGGCAACUCCGGUCCAUAAAUCUACUGUGUAAAUCUGGUGCAUUAACAACCUGUGAAGGAAGGUGGCAAAAAUGGCUGUUUUUCACAGUUGUAAAGAAGUUAUGAAAGACAAUUCUCCCCUGUUUUCCAACCAGGGAGCCUCCAGCUGGUGCAAAACUACAACUCCCAGCAUGCCAUGACAACGAAAGGAAAACAAAAGAAGGAACAGUCUGGAUACUGCUUUUCUGUGUGGGAGAGGAGGAAGGAGCAGAAGGCCGCGGCUUGUAUGGGAGCAUGUUAACUAAUGCAAGCUUAUAAUUUGGCUGUCAUGUUUAUGGAUGACUCUGCUACCUGAAAGCUGCAGGUAUGAAAAUCCUCCUUCCAGUUCGGCACCAUCGGGUUACAGUAAACAGAAUGGGCUUCAAAAGUGACAACCGCCUUCAGGCAUCAGAUGGAGAUCAAUCACUGCUGGAGGGCACUCCGCUUUUCAAGUUACAAAGAGAAACACGAAUUGUUAUUGCAGUUUCAGGUUCAGGCUGAAGGAUUAGCAUGUAUGCCUAGAGGAGAAUAUUCCAGCUGGCUGGUGUAACAGUAUGCAGGGCACACGCCAUACCUCUCCAGAGAGCCGUGGUGCAAUACGUUAUAAAAAUGCAAAAUAGCGUGAUUUACACCGCGCGCAAUAAAAUACAAAGUCAUCUCCUAUCUCCGCCGUGAUUAGAAAGAAUUGA
Long non-coding RNA from Hyla sarda, 1494 nucleotides. RefSeq lists it as uncharacterized. The transcript has 8 exons. NCBI's taxonomy places the organism in Eukaryota, Metazoa, Chordata, Amphibia, Anura, Hylidae. The record is from RefSeq and is a predicted model, not a curated record.